Non-coding RNA from Oryza glaberrima (African rice), 211 nucleotides. Lineage: Eukaryota; Viridiplantae; Streptophyta; Magnoliopsida; Poales; Poaceae. The record is from Rfam.
AAUAAGUACAGUUUUGCACUAUUCACGUUCAACGUUUGACCGUUCGUCUUAUUUGAAUUUUUUUUAUGAUUAGUAUUUUUAUUGCUAUUAGAUGAUAAAAUAUAAAUAGUACCUAUAUGUGUGACUAAAUAUUUUUAAAUAUUUUAUAAAUUUUUUAAAUAAGACGAACGGUCAAACGUUGGGCACAGAUAUCCACGACUGCGCACUUAUU